RNAcentral lists this long non-coding RNA (1391 nucleotides) under Chrysolophus pictus (golden pheasant). Its description in RNAcentral is "lncRNA (ENSCPIG00010012898.1)". Lineage: Eukaryota; Metazoa; Chordata; Aves; Galliformes; Phasianidae. The record is from RNAcentral.
UUUUGCAUCGGUGUUGCCGAAUCCAUCAUUUCCACUGCUUGCUUAUUGUGUUUCUGAAACGCUCAAAAUAUCCCAAAUAACUUCGUAUGAUCCAGAAGGAACUUCUCUCUCUGGCUGGAGGUUGGUGCCACCAGAACUGAGAACAACAUGCAUUUUCCAGGAUUGCUUUAUAGAAUCUCAGUGCAGAGAAGUGCAUGCUGUGAUGACGUCUGACAUCGUUCAGUGGCAUUCACUGUCCACACCAAGCGGGAAUGGAAAGUUUCUUGCCCUGUUCCCCUCCUGCUCCCCAGCAUUAGCUCACCAUUGCGGCGGGGCUGGGCAAACCACUUUGCAUUUGCCUCCAUCCGGAGUCCGGGUCAUUGGGAAAUGCUAAUCCUUAACAAAAAGGAAAUGAUAAAAAUACCCAUGAAAUUAAUUUUCACACCUGCAGUCGAGAUUAAUAACAGCAACCAGAGUGGCAUCCUAUUUCAGCUUCCUGGAGGUGACUAAGAGCCCCGGCCAUGAAUAUCAUACCAACCACCAGAGGAAUUCACUGUCUGAGGGAUCCACCAUGGCAAACAAUUGAUCCCCAGAGCUCCGCCUGCACAAUGGAAAACGGCUUUAGUCAUGUAUUAGUCAUUUUAUCACAAGAUGGUAUUUCUGCACUGGGAGGUUUGCCCUCUGAGCCCAGAACAGAAGAACAGCAUUUGGCUUGGUAAUUUACACAAAGGUUUUCAUCAUGUUUUCUUUAGAAGGAUGUGCGUAAAUGAUGAAGAGCAAUAAACUCAGUCUUCUACAGGUUAAUUCAUGCCAGUUUCAUGUGCGCUUAUUACCUUCUGUGCUUUGAAUCGGUCCUGCACGUCCCUGUGAGUGGCACUGCUAAUUCACUGAGCUCUCACAACCAGCUUUGCUCACGCAAUGCAAAAAGCCGUUGCCUGUGCCCCAGGAGUGCAGAGUGCAAGCACAUUUGCACGAGGUCUUCAGCAAUCGUGGAGCUUAUUUAUUUGCACAGCACCGGAAUGAGACAGAGAGAACUGGAGACGCAGAAUUGUUUCUCUGUGGUUUGCACUGAGAUUUUAGCUGCAGCUCUUUCCUCUCCCUUUGGAGCAUUUGCUGCUGUAGUGCAGCUUGUGUUAUUCCCUGCGGAGCAGGAGACGGGGAGGGCAGUUCUCUCUUUAUUCUUUCCUGCCCCCUCUAUGGAUUUGCACUUUUAUAGCUGUUCAGGUAACUGCUACACUACUUACAGCAGUGGCAGGCUGGCUCUUUUUGGUGUCAGUUUGGCUCCAGCAGGUUUAGAUUCCAUCUCCUGCAGUCUCCUCCAGCAGCGAUUGUCUUUUUUUAAUCUACCUGAAAUUCAAGGUUCAGCUUCAAGCCGAUUCCAGCAGCACGUGGCUGUGUCCUUUUGCAACUGA